GGUUGAUCCUGCCAGUAGUCAUAUGCUUGUCUCAAAGAUUAAGCCAUGCAUGUCUAAGUAUAAACUACUUUAUACAGUGAAACUGCGAAAGGCUCAUUAAAUCAGUUAUAGUUUAUUUGAUAGUACCUUACUACUUGGAUAACCGUGGUAAUUCUAGAGCUAAUACAUGCAGCAAAACCCGACUUCUGGAAGGGUUGUAUUUAUUAGAUAAAAAACCAACCCGGGCAACCGGAUUAGUGGUGAUUCAUAGUAACUUGUCGAAUCGCAUGGCCUUGUGCUGGCGAUGGUUCAUU
RNAcentral lists this ribosomal RNA (293 nucleotides) under uncultured eukaryote. RNAcentral describes it as "partial 18S ribosomal RNA". It matches the Rfam family "Eukaryotic small subunit ribosomal RNA", at positions 6 to 299 of the family's 1831-position model. The record is from RNAcentral.